Molecule: ribosomal RNA, 492 nt
Filed under: uncultured bacterium
Lineage: Bacteria
Description: partial 16S ribosomal RNA
Rfam family: Bacterial small subunit ribosomal RNA
Source: RNAcentral
AGUGAACGCUGGCGGUAGGCCUAACACAUGCAAGUCGAACGGCAGCACAGUAAGGGCUUGCUCUUACGGGUGGCGAGUGGCGGACGGGUGAGGAAUACAUCGGAAUCUACUUUUUCGUGGGGGAUAACGUAGGGAAACUUACGCUAAUACCGCAUACGACCUACGGGUGAAAGCAGGGGAUCUUCGGACCUUGCGCGAUUGAAUGAGCCGAUGUCGGAUUAGCUAGUUGGCGGGGUAAAGGCCCACCAAGGCGACGAUCCGUAGCUGGUCUGAGAGGAUGAUCAGCCAAACUGGAACUGAGACACGGUCCAGACUACUACGGGAGGCAGCAGUGGGGAAUAUUGGACAAUGGGCGCAAGCCUGAUCCAGCCAUACCGCGUGGGUGAAGAAGGCCUUCGGGUUGUAAAGCCCUUUUGUUGGGAAAGAAAAGCAGCAGGUUAAUACCCCGCUGUUCUGACGGUAACCAAAGAAUAAGCACCGGCUAACUUCGUG